AGGCGCGUAGCUCAGCGGGAGAGCGCCACGUUGACAUCGUGGAGGUCGGCGGUUCGAAACCGCCCGCGCCUACCA
Molecule: transfer RNA, 75 nt
Filed under: Acidobacteriota bacterium
Lineage: Bacteria; Pseudomonadati; Acidobacteriota
Description: tRNA-Val
Rfam family: tRNA
About the family: Transfer RNA (tRNA) molecules are approximately 80 nucleotides in length.
Source: RNAcentral